Molecule: small RNA, 28 nt
Filed under: Bombyx mori (domestic silkworm)
Lineage: Eukaryota; Metazoa; Arthropoda; Insecta; Lepidoptera; Bombycidae
Description: ovarian small RNA-10600
Source: RNAcentral
AAGCGUUGAUGAUCCGAUCGUGGGCUGC